GAACAGAAUCUGUCUUCUUCCUUAAAAGAUCUGCUUCUCCAGGUCCCUCCUUCAUCCCAUACAGCUGCUUCCAGCUCCUGAGAGAGAAUAACUGAGCAGCUCAAAUAGAUGGCUAUAGUUUUCUGCUCGUGUUCAGGACACUGGCAAAGGACACCAAUUAAACAGGAUGAUCAACUAAGAGGGCAAUUCUAACAUCUACACUAGGCAGGAAAAUAGAACCAAAUCCCAAAGCUUGUCUGUCUGCAAACAACUACAGGCUUUCCUGUGAACAGAGCGGCUGGCCCGGUGAGGACACUGAAGUUCAGAGAAACUAAGUGUGUCAGCAAGAGGAUGAUGGACAUCUAGAGCCCAGGACUCCUGACCCUAAAUCCAGGGCUCUUUCAUCUGCAGCCCCUUGAUCCUGCCUGUGGACUUUGAGUAUCCAUGAGCCAUGCUGUCACGUGACUGCAAGAUUUCAGGGAAGGGAUACAUAAUUUACAUUCAAAAAAUAAAUUAUUAAGCUCUCUUAUGGGCUAAAUUGCACCCCUUCAAAGUUCACAUAUCAAAACCGAGACAGGAACUUUAAAGAGGUCUAAGUUAAGAGGAGGUUAUUAGCGUAGGCCCUAAUCCAAUAUGACUGAUAUCUUUAUAAGAGGAGGAGAUUAAGAUAGAGACAAUCAGAGGAAAGACUAUGUGAGGAGACAGCAAGAAGGUGGCCACCUGUGACCCAAGGAGAUGAGGCCUCAGAAUAGCAACCUCGAUCUUGAACUUCCUUAAAAUACCUGCCAAUACCUUGGGCUUGAACUUCUAGUCUCCUAAACUGUCAGAAAAUGCACUUCUGCUGUUUAAGCUACCUAGUCUGUGGUACUUUGUUAUGGCAGCCCUAGCAAACUAAUACAGGCUCUCUUGCAGAAGUUCUCCCAAAGCGUGAGCGCAUACCACCACGGUGUCAAGCUGAUUUCAAGCACCGCAGGCACAGAAUUAACAAAUACUGGGUCAGUUAAGGUUCUGUUUGGUAGGUAAUAAGAGAAACCUUGACUAAAGCUGAAACAGAGUUUAUUUUACCUCACUUAGCAAGAAGUGAGGCAGUAGGUGGGCCUGGGGACAUUUUCUUUUUUUCUGUUCUGCCAUUCUUAGGAGCUAGGCUAUGUGUAAGGAAGAAUCCAGGGGUUCUUAAGUACUUGAGAUACUUGAGACAUAGACCGUUUGUUAUGAGCUGAAUUAUACCCCCACCCCAAAUUCAUAUGUUGAAGCCUGAACUCCCACUAUCUCAAAAUAUGACUGUAUUUGAAGAUAGGAGCUUUAAAAAGGUGAUUAAGUUAAAAUGGGGCUGUUAGAAUGGGCCUAAUCUAAUUAUAAAAAGAGGAGAUUAGGAUACAGACAACACAGAAAGCAGGGAGACCAUGUGGGGAUACAGUAGGAAGGUGGCCAUCUGCAAGCCCAGGAGAGGGGUCUCAAAAGAAACCACCUAGACUUCUAGCCUCCAGAACUGUGAGAAAAUAAAUUUCUACUACUUGAGUAA
Long non-coding RNA from Aethalodelphis obliquidens (Pacific white-sided dolphin), 1501 nucleotides. RefSeq lists it as uncharacterized. The record is from RefSeq and is a predicted model, not a curated record. Lineage: Eukaryota; Metazoa; Chordata; Mammalia; Artiodactyla; Delphinidae. The transcript is spliced from 3 exons.